Molecule: long non-coding RNA, 1183 nt
Organism: Hermetia illucens (black soldier fly)
Lineage: Eukaryota; Metazoa; Arthropoda; Insecta; Diptera; Stratiomyidae
Exons: 3
Source: RefSeq, a predicted model, not a curated record
ACCCUUCCUGUUGAUUUGAGUUGUAUUUCUAGUAUUUCUAGUUGCUAUCGAGUCUGCCGGUGGUGAAGCAGCCCGCACUACAAAUUAUCACCUGCCCUAGUCAAGCAAAGGAGACAUUCAAUACCUGAGAAAGAUUUGCAUCAACUUAUCAAAAGCCGCCACUAGCACAAAGGAUAUUGGUCGUUCCUUCUAUGUUAAUCGAAAGUACGACCCUUACCGAUCGGCCAGCUUCAACAGUUUAUGGAAGCACUGUAGCAAUUCCGCCUAUAGAAUGAAGAAUGGGGAAAGCGACAGGACCUGAAGACAUUGCAGCUGGCCUCUGGAAAGUCAAGUGCUGAAACCUAAUAUCUUGGUUCAAUGAGUUUUUCAAUCGCUUGGUUGGUAAGCAUUGAAUAACAUCUGAUUUGCAGAAUACGAUAUGAUGAUUUGGGAAGGCAUUGUUAACAAACUUAUUCAAGACUAUGUUGAAAUUAUCAUUUACCAAGGCAUGUUUGUCAAGAACUGUGGCAUUCCCUUCUACAUUACUUUUUUUGAUUGAUUUGUUUGACUUUGUGUCACGGAAAUGCAUCCGCAAGAUUCCGCGGGAACAGAUGCUCUCAUGGAAAAGAAGGAAACGACAAGUUGUGCUACAGAAAAUUGAAAAGUAUCUCUGCAUGCAUCCGUAGACACUUUUCUAUAAGCCAACUGAGAAUACAUUUCUCAAGCAAAUUAAUAAAACCGAAAACUAUGUAUAUUUAACUUAAAAUUUAUUAAGAGAAGUUACAAUUUACAAAAUUUACCAAUCAGCUGUGCAUCGCCUCCUUCUUAUGAUUUAUAGUGACUUUUCGGAAAUAGUACCAACCUCGCAGCAAUUAUACUUCUCAGCGUUACUAACGUAAGAUCCACCGUCGGGGCUGACAAGAUGAAACAUUAUGGAAUUAUGUUCUUUUGAGAAAAAUGGGACGGGAACGAAUUUAAUGGAAGGAUCUCUCCCUGAAAUAAAUGCAGGGAAAGAUUCUGCGAAUAAAAUGUCUCCAUACCGUGAAGCUGUGGAUGUUUCCCAGAUUUCAGUUUCCAUAUCGCAAAGCUCUUUCGUCAACUUGCUGAUUACUCGGUCCAACGCAGUUUUGCAUCGCUGAAUAUCAUUUUCCGAUAAAAUCUCCAGAUUUUUCAAAAAGAACUUAUCCUGUUUGACGUAGUAGCC